GUCGAGCUGGAAUGUCGGCUCUGUGAGGGGAAGCACAUAGGCUUGUGUCUUUUGGUUCUAUUGGCCGGGCAUGGAGGGGUCGUUUGCAUGCUUGUAAGUUCUGUAAGUGGGAAGUGACUUACUGGCAAGUCACUUAUAGGUGGUGUUUGGGGGAGGAAAUUCACUUGUGUGUAACUUAUAGGAAAAAUUGCUAGGAAACUUCAUGGGACUGGGAGUGAGAAGUCACAUAUCUGUAAGUGAUUUAUAGCUGAAAGUCACAACUUAAAAACUUAAAGGCAUCCAAAUGACCCCUGAAGUUGGUCAUCACUGUCUUCUUUGGUUGUCCUUUGAGAGUUGUUUAACUUAUGAGUUUCGACUCUGUCAAACUUUUUGCAGGGUUUCAUAAUGCAGGAUAUACUUCCUGAGGAGCUCCAAACUGCUACAAAAACCUUAGAGCUGCCAAUUUCCAUGCCAGCUACCCAACAUGAUUCAUAUGAUAAUGGUGAUGGAGAUGAUUUGUGGUGUGAAGAUGGUUCCUUUUAUAUUGUUUCCGAUGAUGGCUCUGGUAAAACAUCUGAUCUGGACAGGGAGUGGGAGAGGAGGCACAACCAAUUCCACACAGUAUCCUAAUGAAUUACGCUAAUCUGCAUGUCUGAACCCCUGAGUUAUUUGCAUUCGUCCAGAAGAGGCUUGCUAAUUCUACUGACACUUCUACUAGUUCGCACACAUGGCAUACAUGAAAACCAUGCUGUUAAUCAGUGCAUUAGCUCUGCUUCCAGAUCAUUUGAAAGAAAAGAUGGAAGGAGAACUAGAAAUGAGAGAGAGGCUUCAGAACUUGUAUGAGUCCGUGCACUCCAUUUCAACGAAAGAUGCACUACAGUGGUUUCAUGAUGACAUCUUGGGUAGCGGAUCAGAGCAACCUCAUAAUCACUUGGAGGGAAAUGCUGAUGUAGCAACCAUGCCGGAUGAUAUUUCACGAUGCAACCAGCUGGAAAGGUUUUCAAAGGAGCUUGAAUCCCUUCUUCGCGAGUGUCCUUCCAUUGAAGUGCAUCCGGCUGUGGACCGAAAGACAGUUAUAUGACUUUUUUCUUACAAGUUGGAGAUUUUUCUGCUUGUAAAUAUGGCUUCUUUUUUUUUUUUUUUUUUUCUUUUCUUUUCUUUGUGUGUGUGUGUGUAAUGUCAGUUAUUGUUAGGAUCUAUUCGUCCCAACCGCAUAUACAGAAGUUGUCAUUGUAUUUAUAAGCUAUGCUGCUUUCAUUGGAAUCUAUCAAAACAAGCUUCCUUUUGUAGAAACUGAAGCAGUGGUUUCUCAUUGACUAUAUGCAGUUUAUGUACCAAUCUUAAUUUUUAUUUGGUUUAGCUGUAAUGCUAAUCAUGAUCUGGAUUGCAUUGGUUCUCAAUAUUAAAAAAUCGCCAUUUCUUUAGUGUUUAUAUGGUCUUUGCCGCUUGAUUCUCUGUUUUUGCCUCUAUUUAUUUAUUUUUAUUUUUAGUUGUUUCAUUUUAUAGGGGGAAUUUAUUGAUGAUAUAAAUGAUUUCGCACCACAUAAGGGGGAUUGUUUCGUUUGUUGGCAGCGUAUGACGACCAUUUGCUUGCAUGAAAUCCAAAUGCCUAAAUGGGUGGUGAGCGACUAGCCCCAAAAUCAGAUUGAUUGGGCAAUCCUGAAAUCUGAUCAAUGGACUUUCUUGUCGAAUUUCAACUGACUACUUGUUUCCAUUGUCCAUUAGAUGUACUCUUCAAUUGGACCCAAAAAAAUUUUAAAAAAAUUCAUCGGAUGUCUCCCAAUUGGCCAGCUACAAUUGGUGCAUAUAUGC
Magnolia sinica is the source of this 1791-nucleotide RNA transcript. RefSeq lists it as uncharacterized. The record is from RefSeq and is a predicted model, not a curated record. NCBI's taxonomy places the organism in Eukaryota, Viridiplantae, Streptophyta, Magnoliopsida, Magnoliales, Magnoliaceae. The transcript has 3 exons.